CGUAGUUCUCACUCAGUACUCUUAUCCCAAGAAGGCGUUACACACUUACAUCCAUUUCAUGGUCAUAUUUAUUAUUACUGCUAUUAAUGACCACAGUAAAGCUGACUUUGUGAGUCUCUGGGACAAGGGGAAUGAAUUUGAGUGGGUGGGACAGAAAGAGGGAAGCAUCUCAGGAUGAAAGAACAAGUGACCAGUGGGUCUGGGGCAGGAGGAGACGCUGAGAGACUGAGGGAGAUUCUUGCAGAGUUUGCCAAAAUUAGGGUUACUACACAUGUCCCUGGGGUAAGACUGGAAUUACAUUACAUUCUGAAGUGGUUACUAAGUGAAUAGGAAGCAACAGACAGACAAGGUGUGGCCAAAAAGCCUUCACCAUCUUUCAAGGAAGACAUACUGGAAGAACCUAAAACCAGGGCAUGGUGGACCAGGAGAUAGGAAAUGAAUUAUUAAGAUGCUGUCCAAGUGGAAGUCACAACUUGGACACUUGAUGAGAAUUAAAAGUGGGUGGGGAAGAGGGCCAGGUCCUCCUGUGAUUCUGGGGCUUUCUGGGUGAGUGUUGGCCAUGCCAGCAGCUGCCCUUCUGAUCUCCAAGGGGUUGGGGUUCCACGUUGUCAUGGCUGGAUGUGUACCAAGCCAAGCUCUGUUCCAGAAAUCCUUAUCACUGCUGGUGGUGAAAACGUGCCCCCCAUUCCCGUUGAGACCUUGGUUAAGAAGAAGAUCCCCAUCAUCAGUAACGCCAUGUUAGUAGGAGAUAAACUGAAGUUUCUGAGCAUGUUGCUGACGCUGAAGGUAACAUGGGUUUGCUGCCAUUGGGGGAAGUCUCUGCAGCCGGUCUUACGUUCCCUGGCCCCACCCCAGGGUCAAGAGGAUGCAUCUGUGGGUUCAAGACCCACUUCUUGGUCUGUGGGCCUGGGGAGGGGUGCUGGUCAAGGAGUAUGUGUGGUGACAGAGGUGUCCGGGGGCAGUGUGAGAUGAAUCAGAUGAGCGGAGAACCUCUGGACAAGCUGAACUUGGAGGCCAUCAACUUCUGCCGGGGUCUGGGCAGCCAGGCAUCCACCGUGACUGAGAUUGUGAAGCAGCAAGACCCCCUGGUCUACAAGGCCAUCCAGCAAGGCAUCAAUGCCGUGAACCAGGAAGCCAUGAACAAUGCACAGAAGAUUCAAAAGUGGGUCAUCUUGGAGAAGGACUUUUCCAUCUAUGGUGGAGAGCUAGCCUUCAGCAGGAAGACCUCAUUGCAAUAAGUGAAAUGCUGCUCUGGGUAGAAGCUCUUCCUGCUGUUUUUAAGGAGUCACAUUCCUCAUUAGUCAGUUUCUUGAUUGCUCGUCUGUUGAAGAGGUGCUCCCUAGAAGAACCUGCCAUACGUUUCAAAGCACUAAAAUCAUCGUAGAUCUUUCUAUGGACCUUCAAGUCAUGACCCCAGGGAAGCCUCACUGGGAAGUCUACCAAGAGCUGCCUGAUUUGGAAGAAAGAUCUGAACUUGUGGGUUCCCAUUUGAUUUUUUUUUUCUCCUCAGGGGACUUAAAGAGACAUUAGAAAGAAAAAGCCUUCACAGAUUUGAAGAACUGGGCCCCCAGAUGAACUCACCUGCCUGGAAGCAACUGGGAAACCCUUCCAAUAAGUUCUGAUAAUAAAGCACUUCAGGGCCCCACGUCUUGAUUUUUGGCUUGACACAAAUACUUCGUCCUUUAUUUAGUGUGAUGGGGAGGGGCUUGGC
This 1711-nucleotide long non-coding RNA is filed under the name Rhinopithecus bieti (black snub-nosed monkey). RNAcentral's name for it is "lncRNA (ENSRBIG00000046800.1)". The record is from RNAcentral. Lineage: Eukaryota; Metazoa; Chordata; Mammalia; Primates; Cercopithecidae.